CUAACUGAACAUGUCUGGUGUGGAUGAAGAGGAGGACAGAUCAGAGUCUGAGGACAGAUGUCAGCAGCUCAGACACACAGCAGAGUCUUCAGGAUCCAGCAGGCUGUUGAUGAAGAGUGAUAUAUCAAAAGAUGAACCACCAGACUUCAGUGGUGAACCUGGACCUUCAGACUCAAAAAGCAUCAACAUCUUCCACUGUCUGACGGAGAUGAAGGACCUCUCAGUACAUCAGGA
Salarias fasciatus (jewelled blenny) is the source of this 234-nucleotide long non-coding RNA. RefSeq lists it as uncharacterized. NCBI's taxonomy places the organism in Eukaryota, Metazoa, Chordata, Actinopteri, Blenniiformes, Blenniidae. The record is from RefSeq and is a predicted model, not a curated record. The transcript has 3 exons.